CAGUCGCCGCGGGAAUACGAAGGGUGCAAGCGUUACUCGGAAUUACUGGGCGUAAAGCGUGCGUAGGUGGUGGUUUAAGUCCGUUGUGAAAGCCCUGGGCUCAACCUGGGAAUUGCAGUGGAUACUGGGUCACUAGAGUGUGGUAGAGGAUAGUGGAAUUUCCGGUGUAGCAGUGAAAUGCGUAGAGAUCGGAAGGAACAUCUGUGGCGAAGGCGGCCAUCUGGGACAACACUGACGCUGAGGCACGAAAGCGUGGGGAGCAAACAGGAUUAGAGACCCCUGUAGUCCCUGUCUCUUAUAU
Molecule: ribosomal RNA, 301 nt
Filed under: uncultured bacterium
Lineage: Bacteria
Description: partial 16S ribosomal RNA
Rfam family: Bacterial small subunit ribosomal RNA
Source: RNAcentral